UGCAUUUUCAGACCCAGAACCGUUGCCUGCCUCAGUGCCACCCACAUGGGGGCUGUGGUUACCAGUCUGGAGGGAGCUCCGGGAGAGGCUGACAGAGUGGGCCCCCAUGUGGAAGAAAGAAGCUCCAAAAUGAAUCACAACUGGCGGGUCUGACCUCGGGCCUUUGCAGAUGCUGUUCCCCUGCCUGGAGCGCACUUAUCACGAGCCCCCCAUCCCUGUGGCCGGAAUGUCAAAGGACAAUGACUACUUUGUGGGUUUCCGUAUAGCUCUCCUUUCCCACCCAUUCCCUGGGAUGCUCACUGGGGAAAGAGACCAGGGCUCUCUGCUGAAGCAGCAGUGCCUGAAGCACAGGAGGCCCUCCAUUCAGUGAUGAGAUGCCUCAGCAGCCCCCACACACCUGGGAUGAGUAUCAAGCCAUGUAGAAGAGUCCCCAUGGAAAGGAACUGAGUUCCCAGCUGACAGCC
This 464-nucleotide non-coding RNA is filed under the name Pongo abelii (Sumatran orangutan). The record is from RNAcentral. Lineage: Eukaryota; Metazoa; Chordata; Mammalia; Primates; Hominidae.